AGUGAACGCUGGCGGUAGGCCUAACACAUGCAAGUCGAACGGCAGCACAGUAAGAGCUUGCUCUUACGGGUGGCGAGUGGCGGACGGGUGAGGAAUACAUCGGAAUCUACUUUUUCGUGGGGGAUAACGUAGGGAAACUUACGCUAAUACCGCAUACGACCUACGGGUGAAAGCAGGGGAUCUUCGCACCUUGCGCGAUUGAAUGAGCCGAUGUCGGAUUAGCUAGUUGGCGGGGUAAAGGCCCACCAAGGCGACGAUCCGUAGCUGGUCUGAGAGGAGGAUCAGCCACACUGGAACUGAGACACGGUCCAGACUCCUACGGGAGGCAGCAGUGGGGAAUAUUGGACAAUGGGCGCAAGCCUGAUCCAGCCAUACCGCGUGGGUGAAGAAGGCCUUCGGGUUGUAAAGCCCUUUUGUUGGGAAAGAAAAGCAGCAGGUUAAUACCCCGCUGUUCUGACGGUACCCAAAGAAUAAGCACCGGCUAACUUCGUG
RNAcentral lists this ribosomal RNA (492 nucleotides) under uncultured bacterium. RNAcentral's name for it is "partial 16S ribosomal RNA". It matches the Rfam family "Bacterial small subunit ribosomal RNA", at positions 29 to 507 of the family's 1533-position model. The record is from RNAcentral.